GAUGAAGAACGUAGCGAAAUGCGAUAAGUAAUGUGAAUUGCAGAAUUCAGUGAAUCAUCGAAUCUUUGAACGCACAUUGCGCCCGCCAGUAUUCUGGCGGGCAUGCCUGUUCGAGCGUCAUUACAACCCUCAGGCCCCCGGGCCUGGCGUUGGGGAUCGCCGGAGCCCCCCGUGGGCACACGCCGUCCCCCAAAUACAGUGGCGGUCCCGCCGCAGCUUCCAUCGCGUAGUAGCUAACACCUCGCGACUGGAGAGCGGCGCGGCCACGCCGUAAAACACCCAACUCUUCUGAAGUUGACCUCGAAUCAGGUAGGAAUACCCGCUGAACUUAAGCAUAUCAAUAAGCGGAGGA
Molecule: unclassified non-coding RNA, 352 nt
Filed under: soil metagenome
Description: partial contains 5.8S ribosomal RNA, internal transcribed spacer 2, and large subunit ribosomal RNA
Rfam family: 5.8S ribosomal RNA (bases 1-120)
Source: RNAcentral